Molecule: ribosomal RNA, 322 nt
Filed under: uncultured Arcobacter sp.
Lineage: Bacteria; Pseudomonadati; Campylobacterota; Epsilonproteobacteria; Campylobacterales; Arcobacteraceae
Description: bacterial SSU rRNA
Rfam family: Bacterial small subunit ribosomal RNA
Source: RNAcentral
AGAGUUUGAUCAUGGCUCAGAGUGAACGCUGGCGGCGUGCUUAACACAUGCAAGUCGAACGAGAGCGGGUUAUAGCUUGCUAUAUCUGUCAGCUAAGUGGCGCACGGGUGAGUAAUAUAUAGUUAAUCUGCCCUAGAGAAAGGGAUAACGUUUGGAAACGAGACGCUAACACCUUAUAUGCCUUUAUUACAUAAGUCUGCAAGGGAAACAUUUAUGGCUAUAGGAUGAGUCUGCGUCGUAUUAGCUAGUUGGUGAGGUAAUGGCUCACCAAGGCGAACUGAUGCCUAGACGGCUUGAGAGGAUGAUCAGUCACACUGGAAAA